RNAcentral lists this transfer RNA (73 nucleotides) under Candidatus Aerophobota bacterium. RNAcentral's name for it is "tRNA-Lys". It matches the Rfam family "tRNA". From Rfam's summary of the family: Transfer RNA (tRNA) molecules are approximately 80 nucleotides in length. RNAcentral also lists the same sequence under 2 other names. The record is from RNAcentral. Lineage: Bacteria; Candidatus Aerophobota.
GGGCCGUUAGCUCAGUUGGUAGAGCAUCGCCCUUUUAAGGCGAGGGUCGCAGGUUCGAAUCCUGCACGGCUCA